This 680-nucleotide ribosomal RNA is filed under the name Heterosigma akashiwo. Its description in RNAcentral is "partial Bacterial small subunit ribosomal RNA". It matches the Rfam family "Bacterial small subunit ribosomal RNA", at positions 16 to 695 of the family's 1533-position model. The record is from RNAcentral. Lineage: Eukaryota; Raphidophyceae; Chattonellales; Chattonellaceae.
AUCCUGGCUCAGGAUGAACGCUAGCGGCAGGCCUAACACAUGCAAGUCGAGGGGUAACAGGGAGCUUGCUCUGCUGACGACCGGCGCACGGGUGCGUAACGCGUAUAGAAUCUACCUUGUACUGAGGAAUAGCCUUUGGAAACGAAGAUUAAUGCCUCAUAGUAUGUUAAGUUCGCAUGAACACUACAUUAAAGGUUACGGUAUAAGAUGACUAUGCGUUCUAUUAGCUAGAUGGUGUGGUAACGGCACACCAUGGCGACGAUAGAUAGGGGCCCUGAGAGGGGGAUCCCCCACACUGGUACUGAGACACGGACCAGACUCCUACGGGAGGCAGCAGUGAGGAAUAUUGGACAAUGGAGGCAACUCUGAUCCAGCCAUGCCGCGUGCAGGAAGACUGCCCUAUGGGUUGUAAACUGCUUUUAUACAGGAAGAAACACUCUCACGUGUGAGAGCUUGACGGUACUGUAAGAAUAAGGAUCGGCUAACUCCGUGCCAGCAGCCGCGGUAAUACGGAGGAUCCAAGCGUUAUCCGGAAUCAUUGGGUUUAAAGGGUCCGUAGGUGGAUAAUUAAGUCAGAGGUGAAAUCCUGCAGCUCAACUGUAGAAUUGCCUUUGAUACUGGUUGUCUUGAGUUAUUAUGAAGUAGUUAGAAUAUGUAGUGUAGCGGUGAAAUGCAUAGAU